Molecule: ribosomal RNA, 253 nt
Filed under: uncultured bacterium
Lineage: Bacteria
Description: partial 16S ribosomal RNA
Rfam family: Bacterial small subunit ribosomal RNA
Source: RNAcentral
UACGAAGGGGGCUAGCGUUGCUCGGAAUUACUGGGCGUAAAGGGUGCGUAGGCGGAAUUGUAAGUCAGUGGUGAAAGCCUGCAGCUUAACUGCAGAAUUGCCAUUGAUACUGCAAAUCUUGAGUACAUUUGAUGUGGGCGGAAUGUGUCAUGUAGCGGUGAAAUGCUUAGAUAUGACACAGAACACCGAUUGCGAAGGCAGCUCACAAAACUGUAACUGACGCUGAGGCACGAAAGCGUGGGGAUCGAACAGG